AUUGAACGCUGGCGGCAGGCCUAACACAUGCAAGUCGAGCGGAUGAAGGGAGCUUGCUCCUGGAUUCAGCGGCGGACGGGUGAGUAAUGCCUAGGAAUCUGCCUGGUAGUGGGGGAUAACGUCCGGAAACGGGCGCUAUUACGCCAACCGUCCUGAGGGAGAAAGUGGGGGAUCUUCGGCCCUACCGCUAUCAGUGGAGCCUAGGUCGGAUUAGCUAGUUGGUGGGGUAAAGGCCUACCAAGGCGACGAUCCGUAACUGGUCUGAGAGGAUGAUCAGUCACACUGGAACUGAGACACGGUCCAGACUCCUACGGGAGGCAGCAGUGGGGAAUAUUGGACAAUGGGCGAAAGCCUGAUCCAGCCAUGCCGCGUGUGUGAAGAAGGUCUUCGGAUUGUAAAGCACUUUAAGUUGGGAGGAAGGGCAGUAAGUUAAUACCUUGCUGUUUUGACGUUACCAACAGAAUAAGCACCGGCUAACUUCGUG
Molecule: ribosomal RNA, 484 nt
Filed under: uncultured bacterium
Lineage: Bacteria
Description: partial 16S ribosomal RNA
Rfam family: Bacterial small subunit ribosomal RNA
Source: RNAcentral